AUCCUGAAAAAAAACCCCUUAAAACAUCUAAAGAAAAAACAAUUCACCCUACCAUAUUCUUUAGUAAUAUCACUUAAUGAAUUAUGCAUAUGUUUGAUAUUCCUUCCUUACUGGGAAAAGUAUAAAAAGUGCAGAAAUCUGUGCCGAAAUAUUUUUUUCAGGCUGAGGGAUUUGCAGGAGUUGACCGGACGGGCCGAGCCAGAGAGGAGUCAUAACAUCACAGCAUGUUGUUUUAAGCUAGCGUUAGCCAAGAAGUUAGCCAAUGCUAUUGGCUACCCUUAGCUCCAGAAACAAGGGGAAUCUUUUUCCCCCUUUUUUACCCACAUUGCAAAGCAUAAUAACAUCAUGACUGAGGUUAUUUGGCUGGUGCAAGGAAAGAGAGCUGUGGCAGUUGUGUGUGUACAGAUGAGGCAAAGAGAAGAAAGUCACUCAGGCGGUGAGCUUCACUCAUUUCUGGGAUAUACAACAGAAAGGCAACACAGAGGUGCAGAUACUGUGAAGGUGUCAGAAGGUACCAUGGUCACAAGAAGCUUCAGUACUGCGGGAUGCAGAGCUCUCACAGUGUGUGUAGCGCUUUUCCACUUCAAACUUCCUCUCAUUUUCUGUGGUCACUUCCUGGGUGUCCACAGUCAAGAUCCCUAGACCUUUACAUUUUCAAUGGAGAAACAGUCUCCAUACAAAUUCCCUGCAUCUCAACAAAUAUGGACCUUGUUCCUCUUCUGUCACCUUUUCUCACCGUGCUCCUGUGUGCUGUUUACGGUAUCAGACAGCCUCAGUCAAACACACCCACGGAAACUCCUUGCCACAGCGCUGAAGGUGGAUUGUGCUCCCACCUCUUGUUUUCUCCACGAUGUGAAGCUCUAAGCCAAAGACAGAACACAGAGGAAUGA
Molecule: long non-coding RNA, 890 nt
Filed under: Oreochromis niloticus (Nile tilapia)
Lineage: Eukaryota; Metazoa; Chordata; Actinopteri; Cichliformes; Cichlidae
Description: lncRNA (ENSONIG00000031576.1)
Source: RNAcentral